This 455-nucleotide ribosomal RNA is filed under the name uncultured bacterium. Its description in RNAcentral is "bacterial SSU rRNA". It matches the Rfam family "Bacterial small subunit ribosomal RNA", at positions 8 to 463 of the family's 1533-position model. The record is from RNAcentral.
AGAGUUUGAUCCUGGCUCAGAUUGAACGCUGGCGGCAUGCUUUACACAUGCGAGUCGAACGGCAGCACGGGUGCUUGCACCUGGUGGCGAGUGGCGAACGGGUGAGUAAUGCACCGGAACGUACCCAGUAAUGGGGGAUAACACAUCGAAAGAUGUGCUAAUACCGCAUACGCCCUGAGGGGGAAAGCGGGGGAUCGUAAGACCUCGCGUUAUUGGAGCGGCCGAUGCCGGAUUAGCUAGUUGGUGAGGUAAGAGCUCACCAAGGCGACGAUCCGUAGCUGGUCUGAGAGGACGACCAGCCACACUGGGACUGAGACACGGCCCAGACUCCUACGGGAGGCAGCAGUGGGGAAUUUUGGACAAUGGGCGCAAGCCUGAUCCAGCCAUGCCGCGUGAGUGAAGAAGGCCUUCGGGUUGUAAAGCUCUUUCGCAAGGAAAGAAAACUUAUCUACUAA